Penaeus vannamei (Pacific white shrimp) is the source of this 978-nucleotide non-coding RNA. The record is from RefSeq and is a predicted model, not a curated record. NCBI's taxonomy places the organism in Eukaryota, Metazoa, Arthropoda, Malacostraca, Decapoda, Penaeidae.
AAAAAAGGUUGAUGAGAGAGCCUUCUUUGACCUGCAGACAAAGCGCCGCCUGUAUAACUUCUGUGCAUCGGAUGGUGCAGCUGCUCAGGAGUGGAUUGAAAAGAUCCAGUCAUGUCUGCAAUAGAUGGAGGAAGAAAAGAAACCGUGCUAUUUUCUUAGCACUGCGUUUAAUGUGCUUUGCUGAAAUCUUCCAAACAAUUGGCUGUCAACUUUUUGUUCAGUAUUAUUGUGGUGUUUUUGAGGCAAUUACAUUAUUUCUCUUUCCUUGUUCAUUUUCUUUUUUUCUUCUUCCUUUCACUUCCUUUCUCCCAAUAUAAAUUUCUAUGUAAAUACAAAAUUUUGAUUAGAAGAAAUUUUGCAUAGGAUAUUUUCCUUUACCUUUUGUUUUAUCAUCAUCAUGAAUAUUCUUUAUUUAAACAAAAAUAUAUAGAGUUGAGUAGCUACAUAUAUGAGUGAUACAUAUUAUGAAGAUUAAUAUUACUAUAUAUUGUCUUAAGAAAAGACCCACUUUAGAUGUAGGCCUAGUGAGGUCAAGAGGGGUGCAUAUUAUGGAGAAGAAUGCUUUAAUUAUUUAUGGAACCUGAAUGCGUGCCUCAAUAUAAAUUGAUAUAUAUCCUAUUGAAAUUGGUAUUAGAAUCCUGCAACUUUCUUAACAAUGGAAAAAUACACACAUUUAAAGAAGGCAAUAAAUGCUAAAAGGUUUUGGUAUUUCUGCCAGGAUAUCAUCUAACUUUGUAUAUCUAGGGGACCAAAACUUUCCAUAGAGUAUCAUUUGAAGUGAGAUCUCCAUUCUUGGGUUAGUUGUCUCACUCAUACCGAAACCUUGAUGGAAAGGAGACAAGGUGUUGUUAUCCACAUAGCAUUAGAAGAAUUAGCUUUUACAGUAUCCUAUUCCUUUGGGUUGCAUGUAGGAUGUUUUAAUGUUUUGGGCCUUUUGCACUUUUCCUCAGGAAAUUUGUAAUAAAGGUUCAAAAGAUA